AACGAACGCUGGCGGCAGGCUUGACACAUGCAAGUCGAACGCCCCGCAAGGGGAGUGGCAGACGGGUGAGUAACGCGUGGGAAUCUACCCAGAUCUUCGGAACAACUGAGGGAAACUUCAGCUAAUACCGGAUACGCCCAACGGGGGAAAGAUUUAUCGGUUCUGGAUGAGCCCGCGUUGGAUUAGCUAGUUGGUGAGGUAACGGCUCACCAAGGCGACGAUCCAUAGCCGGUCUGAGAGGAUGAUCAGCCACACUGGGACUGAGACACGGCCCAGACUCCUACGGGAGGCAGCAGUGGGGAAUAUUGGACAAUGGGCGAAAGCCUGAUCCAGCCAUGCCGCGUGAGUGAUGAAGGCCUUAGGGUUGUAAAGCUCUUUCAGUAGGGAAGAUAAUGACGGUACCUACAGAAGAAGCCCCGGCUAACUUCGUGCCAGCCGCCGCCGUAA
RNAcentral lists this ribosomal RNA (447 nucleotides) under uncultured bacterium. Its description in RNAcentral is "partial 16S ribosomal RNA". It matches the Rfam family "Bacterial small subunit ribosomal RNA", at positions 29 to 523 of the family's 1533-position model. The record is from RNAcentral.